This 253-nucleotide ribosomal RNA is filed under the name uncultured bacterium. RNAcentral's name for it is "partial 16S ribosomal RNA". It matches the Rfam family "Bacterial small subunit ribosomal RNA", at positions 524 to 776 of the family's 1533-position model. The record is from RNAcentral.
GACGAACCGUGCGAACGUUAUUCGGAAUCACUGGGCUUAAAGGGCGCGUAGGCGGGCUCGUCAGUCAGGGGUGAAAUCCCACGGCCCAACCGUGGAAGUGCCUCUGAUACUGCGAGCCUCGAGGGGGAUAGGGGCGUGCGGAACUCAGGGUGGAGCGGUGAAAUGCGUAGAUAUCGGGAGGAACACCAAUGGCGAAGGCAGCUCGCUGGGACGUUACUGACGCUGAGACGCGAAAGCGUGGGGAGCAAACAGG